RNAcentral lists this long non-coding RNA (202 nucleotides) under Zostera marina. RNAcentral's name for it is "long non-coding RNA (ZMAR_LNC005150)". Lineage: Eukaryota; Viridiplantae; Streptophyta; Magnoliopsida; Alismatales; Zosteraceae. The record is from RNAcentral.
AUCAUAGUUCAAAAAGCGACGCUUAAGCGUCGCUUUAAGCGAAAAUAGCGGCAAAGCGGUUUUUUUGGACCGCUUUGCCAAACGCUUUUUUUCACAAUAUUAUAAACAACUAGCUUAACUUUAUACUAGUCCAAUAUACCAGAUAACUAUCUUAGCUAGUGGUUUACAACUAAAAAAGCGGUUAACCACUAACAGGCUAACC